Humulus lupulus (European hop) is the source of this 1179-nucleotide long non-coding RNA. RefSeq lists it as uncharacterized. Lineage: Eukaryota; Viridiplantae; Streptophyta; Magnoliopsida; Rosales; Cannabaceae. The record is from RefSeq and is a predicted model, not a curated record. The transcript has 2 exons.
AAGGACUGGCAUUGUUUUUGUAGCCUGAUCUGAUCUUUAUUACAAACUUUGUAGACUUUUCUUUAGAGUUUGUUUAUAAAAUUAAGGUUGUCGGUGUCCUUGCUUUUGCUAUAAUUUUACUGAAGUCUUCAAAAUGAACUGGAGAUGCCUGAAUCAUGAUGUAUAUCAUCUAAUUGGUUAGUUAAAGUUGAAAUAAGUGUUUCUCGCCACUUGAAUCUUAUUGUUGCUAUCUCAGAUGUUGAACAGAUAGAAGUAGAUACCUGACACUUCAUGUAAACAGCCCCUUGGCUGGGUUUACUUCCCAGUGCUAAUGGGCAAGUAUUACAUUCUCAAGAUGGUGGAGAUAGUCCAAUUCUCAGUCUCUUUAAAUUAGUCACUGCUGCAAUAUUAUCUAAGCCAGGGAAAUCAAAUCCUUGUUUCCUGCCGAUUGCAGUCCAUUCUAAGCUGGUUUUGGAAAUAGAGAUACAGAUGAAGUUAGCUACCUUAAGGUCGGAGUUCCACUAGGAAAAAAUUACUAUGCCUGAAAAUGAGCAAAGUUAGAACUGAAAGAGCUUCUUCAGAGCUUUGGAAGGUACUUUUUUCCAAUUCAUUCUUAAUAUGAUAUUACCUUCUUUCUUAGCUGCUUUGAGUUUUGCCAUCUCUGAUGCUAAACAUGCUUUAAUUUUCAACUUUAUCCAGAUAUAAGAUUGCUCAAAAGGUUUGUUUUUUGGCAUAUAAAUUGAAAACCUAUUUAUGAGCACUUUCCAUGUUUUUUUUUCAUGAAAGCUGUUAAGUUGUGCUGAAUGAAUGUAACUUUGGGUUUGCAGGUUGUGGGUUUAGCUGUUGUUUGUGUUAUAUGUUUCACCUCUAAUGCUUUUGCAGGCAGCAAGAACAGCUAAUUAUAGUAUUGGGAGUAAGUUGCUGAUACCUAAACUCCUCCUCUCACUUUUUGGAAACUUGACAGAACGAACAGGGUAGAGUGAUUUCUUUGGAGCAAUUCUUGACAACAUUUGUAGUUGAGGCCUUUAGAAUGGAAGAAUGUAUUUCACUAAUUUUUGUAUACAUUUCUUGUUUUGUAUUUAGUGAUAAAGGAAUCUGAAUUGGGCAUAAAUUAUGUUGUAAUAUGAUUUCUUAAGCCUAGACUAGUAGACUAAAUAUUGUAAUUACAUUUGAGUAAUUAAUAAAAAUCUAUUUAUGUUA